AUUCAGCUGACGAGUACCGUAUAGGACGAAACACGCGUCAAACUGGAU
Non-coding RNA from Schistosoma curassoni, 48 nucleotides. The record is from Rfam. Lineage: Eukaryota; Metazoa; Platyhelminthes; Trematoda; Strigeidida; Schistosomatidae.